AUAAACCGAAAGAAAAAUUGUGUAUAUGGUGAUCAUUGUGGUGAUUAAACUAUUAAUUCAUUUUAUUUUAUCUUUAUUUUCAUUUCAUGAGAUGAGAUACAUCCCAAUAGAAAGAAUGAAUAGAUGUGACAAUUACAUUAUCCUAUCACACCCUCCAUUAUCAUUAAAGUAUCAACAACUAAACAUGUCACUUAAAAUGCUAAAAGAAAUCAUUUCAUUCUAUCUUCUUCUUUUUUUUUGGCUCUGAAAUGAAUAUUUGGUUGACAUGUUUAAAAUCUAAAUGCAUUUGAAAUUUUU
RNAcentral lists this long non-coding RNA (297 nucleotides) under Panax ginseng (ginseng). RNAcentral's name for it is "long non-coding RNA (PGIN_LNC011970)". The record is from RNAcentral. Lineage: Eukaryota; Viridiplantae; Streptophyta; Magnoliopsida; Apiales; Araliaceae.